UGUCUGCAGAAGGACUCUAGAGGUCACUCAAGGAAUCCUACACCAUCCCCCAGAUAUCCCUGAUGUCACAGGAAGGAAGAAAGAAGGCAAAGAAAGAGGAGGACGAGGACGACAAGGAAGCAUCAGAGAUAUGACAGAUUUAUGUGCAAACAUGUUUAUGCAACAAACCUAACUUCCUCACAACAACAAAAGGAAACAUACUAGGGAUGGAACUCAGGGUUGCUCUAUUGCUGAACUACACCUUAGACCUUUUCAUUUUGAAACAAGAUCUUGCUAAGAUGCUGAGACUUCAAACUUGUGAUCUUCCUGCCUCAGCUUCCCACGUAGCUGUGAUUCCAGAUGUGUACCACUGUGCCUGGGCCUAAAAAUGGGAGUUCGUGAAGAUUAUUCGAGGUUCAAAAUUUAAUGUUACAUACUCAAGGGAAGUAGAAUGCAUAGGACUAUUUGUGAAGGAAAUGUACCAAAAUGGUAAGAGUAAUAAUCUCUGGUUAGUGAAAUUAGAGUCAUUUACAUUU
Ictidomys tridecemlineatus (thirteen-lined ground squirrel) is the source of this 515-nucleotide long non-coding RNA. RefSeq lists it as uncharacterized. The record is from RefSeq and is a predicted model, not a curated record. NCBI's taxonomy places the organism in Eukaryota, Metazoa, Chordata, Mammalia, Rodentia, Sciuridae.